GAUGAACGCUGGCGGCGUGCCUAAUACAUGCAAGUCGAGCGAACGGACGGGAAGCUUGCUUCUCUGAUGUUAGCGGCGGACGGGUGAGUAACACGUGGAUAACCUACCUAUAAGACUGGGAUAACUUCGGGAAACCGGAGCUAAUACCGGAUGAUAUUUUGAACCGCAUGGUUCAAAAGUGAAAGACGGUCUUGCUGUCACUUAUAGAUGGAUCCGCGCUGCAUUAGCUAGUUGGUAAGGUAACGGCUUACCAAGGCAACGAUGCAUAGCCGACCUGAGAGGGUGAUCGGCCACACUGGAACUGAGACACGGUCCAGACUCCUACGGGAGGCAGCAGUAGGGAAUCUUCCACAAUGGGCGAAAGCCUGACGGAGCAACGCCGCGUGAGUGAUGAAGGUCUUCGGAUCGUAAAACUCUGUUAUUAGGGAAGAACAUAUGUGUAAGUAACUGUGCACAUCUUGACGGUACCUAAUCAGAAAGCCACGGAUAACUACGUG
This 497-nucleotide ribosomal RNA is filed under the name uncultured bacterium. RNAcentral's name for it is "partial 16S ribosomal RNA". It matches the Rfam family "Bacterial small subunit ribosomal RNA", at positions 28 to 507 of the family's 1533-position model. The record is from RNAcentral.